UACGUAGGGUGCAAGCGUUAAUCGGAAUUACUGGGCGUAAAGCGUGCGCAGGCGGUUAUGUAAGACAGAUGUGAAAUGCCCGGGCUUAACCUGGGAACUGCAUUUGUGACUGCAUGGCUAGAAUCUGGCAGAGGGGGGUAGAAUUCCACGUGUAGCAGUGAAAUGCGUAGAUAUGUGGAGGAACACCGAUGGCGGAAGGCAGCCCCCUGGGUCAAGAUUGACGCUCAU
RNAcentral lists this ribosomal RNA (228 nucleotides) under uncultured bacterium. RNAcentral describes it as "partial 16S ribosomal RNA". It matches the Rfam family "Bacterial small subunit ribosomal RNA", at positions 524 to 750 of the family's 1533-position model. The record is from RNAcentral.